GUUUAUUUUUUUUAAUGGCAAUGAACUUGAUUUGGUUACUUUGUGUUGUUGUGUGCCUGCCUGUUUUUUAUUUAUUUAUUUAUUGGUUAUAAUCAGUUUAUUUCAUUUUUUUCUGAAAAUUAUUUUUGGAAAACUUUUCUAUUUGCUAUAUUUAUUUGUAAAUUUUGUUUUGUUAACUCAAAAAUUUUAUAACUUGAUCACAUCUGUGUCUUAAGCUGAGGAUCCUACAAGCUAGGCAAUGUGAAAUAAGUGUAGAUGACUGAUAAAAUUCAUUUGUAUGAUCACAAAAAAGAAAGCAAACAAAGUACUGUAUUCAUGGACAAUAACUUUUGAAAAUGGAGGGUGAAAUUACCAGAUUGCUUAGAGUACUCGGUUUUUUACCAUUGUGGCAUUGCUUGCUUGUUAUACAUUUUUAUGUUUACUAUGAAUAUCAUCU
Molecule: unclassified non-coding RNA, 436 nt
Filed under: Hevea brasiliensis (rubber tree)
Lineage: Eukaryota; Viridiplantae; Streptophyta; Magnoliopsida; Malpighiales; Euphorbiaceae
Source: RNAcentral